Molecule: transfer RNA, 51 nt
Filed under: Hyalella cuprea
Lineage: Eukaryota; Metazoa; Arthropoda; Malacostraca; Amphipoda; Hyalellidae
Also listed under: 5 other names
Description: tRNA-Val
Source: RNAcentral
UAAAGCGAAUUUGCUCAUUUACGCUGAGAUUUACCUAUUUAGGCGCUUUAU